Molecule: ribosomal RNA, 253 nt
Filed under: uncultured bacterium
Lineage: Bacteria
Description: partial 16S ribosomal RNA
Rfam family: Bacterial small subunit ribosomal RNA
Source: RNAcentral
UACGAAGGGAGCUAGCGUUGUUCGGAAUUACUGGGCGUAAAGGGCGUGUAGGCGGUACCAUAAGUCAGAUGUGAAAGCCCUAGGCUUAACCUAGGAGGUGCAUUUGAUACUGUGGAACUAGAGAUCGAGAGAGGAAAGUGGAAUUACGAGUGUAGAGGUGAAAUUCGUAGAUAUUCGUAAGAACACCAGUGGCGAAGGCGGCUUUCUGGCUCGAUACUGACGCUAAGGCGCGAAAGCGUGGGGAGCAAACAGG